UUUUUAUGAGAGUUUGAUCCUGGCUCAGGACGAACGCUGGCGGCGUGCCUAAUACAUGCAAGUCGAACGCUUCUUUUUCCACCGGAGCUUGCUCCACCGGAAAAAGAGAGUGGCGAACGGGUGAGUAACACGUGGGUAACCUGCCCAUCAGAAGGGGAUAACACUUGGAAACAGGUGCUAAUACCGUAUAACAAUCGAAACCGCAUGGUUUUGAUUUGAAAGGCGCUUUCGGGUGUCGCUGAUGGAUGGACCCGCGGUGCAUUAGCUAGUUGGUGAGGUAACGGCUCACCAAGGCCACGAUGCAUAGCCGACCUGAGAGGGUGAUCGGCCACAUUGGGACUGAGACACGGCCCAAACUCCUACGGGAGGCAGCAGUAGGGAAUCUUCGGCAAUGGACGAAAGUCUGACCGAGCAACGCCGCGUGAGUGAAGAAGGUUUUCGGAUCGUAAAACUCUGUUGUUAGAGAAGAACAAGGAUGAGAGUAACUGUUCAUCCCUUGACGGUAUCUAACCAGAAAGCCACGGCUAACUACGUGCCAGCAGCCGCGGUAAUACGUAGGUGGCAAGCGUUGUCCGGAUUUAUUGGGCGUAAAGCGAGCGCAGGCGGUUUCUUAAGUCUGAUGUGAAAGCCCCCGGCUCAACCGGGGAGGGUCAUUGGAAACUGGGAGACUUGAGUGCAGAAGAGGAGAGUGGAAUUCCAUGUGUAGCGGUGAAAUGCGUAGAUAUAUGGAGGAACACCAGUGGCGAAGGCGGCUCUCUGGUCUGUAACUGACGCUGAGGCUCGAAAGCGUGGGGAGCAAACAGGAUUAGAUACCCUGGUAGUCCACGCCGUAAACGAUGAGUGCUAAGUGUUGGAGGGUUUCCGCCCUUCAGUGCUGCAGCUAACGCAUUAAGCACUCCGCCUGGGGAGUACGACCGCAAGGUUGAAACUCAAAGGAAUUGACGGGGGCCCGCACAAGCGGUGGAGCAUGUGGUUUAAUUCGAAGCAACGCGAAGAACCUUACCAGGUCUUGACAUCCUUUGACCACUCUAGAGAUAGAGCUUCCCCUUCGGGGGCAAAGUGACAGGUGGUGCAUGGUUGUCGUCAGCUCGUGUCGUGAGAUGUUGGGUUAAGUCCCGCAACGAGCGCAACCCUUAUUGUUAGUUGCCAUCAUUCAGUUGGGCACUCUAGCAAGACUGCCGGUGACAAACCGGAGGAAGGUGGGGAUGACGUCAAAUCAUCAUGCCCCUUAUGACCUGGGCUACACACGUGCUACAAUGGGAAGUACAACGAGUCGCGAAGUCGCGAGGCUAAGCUAAUCUCUUAAAGCUUCUCUCAGUUCGGAUUGCAGGCUGCAACUCGCCUGCAUGAAGCCGGAAUCGCUAGUAAUCGCGGAUCAGCACGCCGCGGUGAAUACGUUCCCGGGCCUUGUACACACCGCCCGUCACACCACGAGAGUUUGUAACACCCGAAGUCGGUGAGGUAACCUUUUGGAGCCAGCCGCCUAAGGUGGGAUAGAUGAUUGGGGUGAAGUCGUAACAAGGUAGCCGUAUCGGAAGGUGCGGCUGGAUCACCUCCUUUCUAAGGAA
Molecule: ribosomal RNA, 1568 nt
Filed under: Enterococcus faecium
Lineage: Bacteria; Bacillati; Bacillota; Bacilli; Lactobacillales; Enterococcaceae
Description: bacterial SSU rRNA
Rfam family: Bacterial small subunit ribosomal RNA
Source: RNAcentral